Molecule: long non-coding RNA, 639 nt
Organism: Brassica rapa (field mustard)
Lineage: Eukaryota; Viridiplantae; Streptophyta; Magnoliopsida; Brassicales; Brassicaceae
Source: RefSeq, a predicted model, not a curated record
AUACAUAUUUACAUGUUUCUACUUUUAAUCGGUUUUGUUCGGUUUAUUCGGUUUAAUCGGUUAUAUACCAAACCAUAUCCAAAUCCUACAGUUUUUAUAAAAUUAUAUCCAUUCGGUUUAUAUGGUAUAUACCAAAACCAAACCAUAUUGUCUAUUUCGGUUCGGUUCGGUACGGUUCGGUUUUACCAUAUUAAACAGUCCUAGCCAAAAUAUCUACUGUCUAAAUUCAAAAGCAAAAAAAAACUAAAGUCACAGCAUUAACCAAUCACCCCAAAAACACAUUUUAUGUAUGAAUAACGUUGAUUUGGUUGAGAAGAAAGAUCUGUUUAAGGUUGCUGAGGAGUUCCAAAAUAUUCUAGGAUAUGAAAAAAGGUACUUCAUGAUAUUAGGACUCGAGGGAUCUGGAGUUAAAGAUUUCAGCCAAUGUUUAAUGGACCAAGCAGUUAAGAAACCAUGGGAGGUAGAUGCAUUCACCAUGAAUGAAGAAGUCAUGAAGAACAUCUCUCUUGAGGUUGUUAGGGAGGGAUAGUGCAUCUCUCUUAAGGGGUGCACUAUCAUUCAAAUUUCAAAAGUGCACUAACAAACACUCACCAUUAGGUGGUAUAAAUAAGCUUAAAUGAGUAAAAAGGCAUUAGUACA